GACGAACGCUGGCGGCGUGCCUAAUACAUGCAAGUUGAGCGCUGAAGGUUGGUACUUGUACCAACUGGAUGAGCAGCGAACGGGUGAGUAACGCGUGGGGAAUCUGCCUUUGAGCGGGGGACAACAUUUGGAAACGAAUGCUAAUACCGCAUAAAAACUUUAAACACAAGUUUUAAGUUUGAAAGAUGCAAUUGCAUCACUCAAAGAUGAUCCCGCGUUGUAUUAGCUAGUUGGUGAGGUAAAGGCUCACCAAGGCGAUGAUACAUAGCCGACCUGAGAGGGUGAUCGGCCACAUUGGGACUGAGACACGGCCCAAACUCCUACGGGAGGCAGCAGUAGGGAAUCUUCGGCAAUGGACGAAAGUCUGACCGAGCAACGCCGCGUGAGUGAAGAAGGUUUUCGGAUCGUAAAACUCUGUUGGUAGAGAAGAACGUUGGUGAGAGUGGAAAGCUCGUCAAGUGACGGUGACUACCCAGAAAGGGACGGCUAACUACGUG
This 497-nucleotide ribosomal RNA is filed under the name uncultured bacterium. Its description in RNAcentral is "partial 16S ribosomal RNA". It matches the Rfam family "Bacterial small subunit ribosomal RNA", at positions 28 to 507 of the family's 1533-position model. The record is from RNAcentral.